This 67-nucleotide transfer RNA is filed under the name Theromyzon tessulatum. RNAcentral's name for it is "tRNA-Val". Lineage: Eukaryota; Metazoa; Annelida; Clitellata; Rhynchobdellida; Glossiphoniidae. The record is from RNAcentral.
UCAAACUAUAGCAUAUAUUAUAAUGCCUCUUAUUUACAUUAAGAAGAAAAUACUAAUUUAGUUUGAA